GCACUAAACCAAACCAUAAAACUCAAGAUGGGGCUUCUUCACAAACAAAACCUUUCCUUUGUGAUACUUCUCCUUGGUUUCCUCGUCGUCUCUUACGCUUGUGACUGUGGUGACCCUCCAAAGCCAUCUCCACACCCCGUUAAACCGCCUAAACAUCCCGUUAAACCGCCUAAACCACCCACCGUUAAACCACCUCCACACACUCCGAGACCGCCAACCGUCAAGCCUCCGCACACUCCAUCCCCUCCACAUUCUUUUCCACCGUACACUCCAAAACCUCCCACUGUCAAGCCACCGCCACAGCCAACUCCAACCCCAUCCCCUCCACCACCGUACGUCAAGCCACCACCAGUGCCAACCCCAGAGACGCCAUGCCCGCCACCACCGCCACCGUCACCACCACCAACCCCAUGUCCUCCUACACCUCCAGCGCCAACCCCUGAAC
This 445-nucleotide long non-coding RNA is filed under the name Brassica napus (rape). RNAcentral's name for it is "long non-coding RNA (BNAP_LNC006697)". The record is from RNAcentral. Lineage: Eukaryota; Viridiplantae; Streptophyta; Magnoliopsida; Brassicales; Brassicaceae.